Molecule: ribosomal RNA, 513 nt
Filed under: uncultured bacterium
Lineage: Bacteria
Description: bacterial SSU rRNA
Rfam family: Bacterial small subunit ribosomal RNA
Source: RNAcentral
GAUGAACGCUGGCGGCGUGCCUAACACAUGCAAGUCGAACGGAGUUUGUAGAACGGAAGUCUUCGGAUGGAAGAUUUAUAAACUUAGUGGCGGACGGGUGAGUAACGCGUGGGUAACCUGCCUCGUACAGGGGGAUAGCAGCUGGAAACGGCUGGUAAUACCGCAUAAGACCACGUUGCCGCAUGGCAGUGGGGUAAAAGAUUUAUCGGUGUGAGAUGGAUCCGCGUCUGAUUAGCCAGUUGGCGGGGUAACGGCCCACCAAAGCGACGAUCAGUAGCCGGCCUGAGAGGGUGAACGGCCACAUUGGGACUGAGACACGGCCCAAACUCCUACGGGAGGCAGCAGUGGGGAAUAUUGCACAAUGGGCGCAAGCCUGAUGCAGCAACGCCGCGUGAGUGAAGAAGUAUUUCGGUAUGUAAAGCUCUAUCGGCAGGGAAGAAAGGCCCGAAAGGGAGAUGACGGUACCUGACUAAGAAGCCCCGGCUAACUACGUGCCAGCCGCCGCCGUAAGAC